This is a long non-coding RNA of Suricata suricatta (meerkat), 945 nucleotides long. RefSeq lists it as uncharacterized. Lineage: Eukaryota; Metazoa; Chordata; Mammalia; Carnivora; Herpestidae. The record is from RefSeq and is a predicted model, not a curated record. The transcript is spliced from 4 exons.
CAAACACCAAAUGGAAUAGAGUCAAAUGCUAAUAUGCUAAGUUGGACAAAAUAAUAAACUGUGAAAACGUGACAAGACAAAGAGGUAGGCUAGAGCAGUUGAUCCUUCAGAAAUGACUCAGAAGUCAUACAAACUGUACAGUAUCUAAGGAUCUAAAGGAAGCAAGACUAUACAGUAGCUAAAUAUGAGGAGAAAAAUGAAUUCCACUCAUUUGGGAUCUCACAAAUUCAUGGUGUUUCCAAGUUUUCUCCUAACCUUGAAAUCACCAAAAUAUACUUACGAAAGAAUCUAUUUGAAGAAUGUAAACUGAUUGCUGCUGAAAUACUGCAUGAACUUGGAGAGAUAUUGCAGAAAUAUGCUGAGUAUAGCUUUACUUGCCCUGUGGGAAUUGUAAAUCUUAUGAAUUACAGCUGGCAUGAUCUUAUUGAUGGUGCUUGUAAGUGUGAAACCAAAAAUUUGAAGAAAAAUACAGUGCCUUAAAAAGAGAUUACAACAUUACCCAAGUCAGCACCCGUUCAAGAGAGGAGUAUCAUAAGGAAAAUCAUCUUUUGCAAGCAGAAGAAGGCCACCCUGUUUCAUUGGCUCUUGUCAAACAAAACCAGUAUUCCCAGAUCCCACAGGAUAGCUAUUUACCUGUUGUCAUCCACUUCUCACUGUCAUCCAACAUCUGUUUAAAAAAUGGCUAGAUCUUUCAACAUCCUUACUCAAAAUUGGAAAUUCUGAAAUGGAAGACAAUCCUCAAUACUGCUGUGAAGAGACUACAAGAAGCCAUAAUUCAAAUGUAGGGAACCUCCUAAAAUCUUUAGAAUCAUAUAAUUUUAUGGCUAAUGAUGGUUAGAUAGGCAAGAAGAGAUACUGAGCCUGUGGGACCCUGGGUGAUUCCCUCUAUCGCUUUGCCUGUCAUGUCUGUAAUGUGAAAAAAUAUGUACAUACAUGCACACACAA